Molecule: long non-coding RNA, 212 nt
Filed under: Homo sapiens (human)
Lineage: Eukaryota; Metazoa; Chordata; Mammalia; Primates; Hominidae
Description: HSALNT0136279
Source: RNAcentral
UAUGAAGGGCUAUGGAAAGCUGACCCUUGUCCACUAGAGGUCAUGGGGUGCUUUAAAAAGUGGCACCCAAGCAGAUGGUCUUUGAGGAUGUGAACAGAGAAGGUCUGCUGGAGAAGAGGAACUGAAAUUAGCAAGACAAACGGGACCCUGGGACAAGUCUGCUGGCAAGCAGGUUGGAAAUACUGUUUCUGUAUUAUCUGCAAAGAGACAUU